ACACACACGGUCACCCCUAUGUCCCACACACACACACGUCCUCUUGAGUUGUCAGAUAUAUCUGUCACAUAUACUGUAUGUUGAUAAUGGAUUGGGUUUAUGUAGUGUUUAUAACUGUCACAUAUACUGUAUGUUGAUAAUGGAUUGGGUUUAUGUAGUGUUUUUCAUCAGGUCUCAAGGUACAUUGUGUAUAUAGUAUAGCAUUCACCACCGAUGUUUAGCACCCACCUGGGUGAUACACAACAGCUAUUUUGCAGCUACGUUCUGGUAAUAACAGUAGCAGCCUUUCCUUCCCCAGGCAAGCCUUGAAUGUCCCAGACUCCCUGUUCCUGCUGGAGGAGGCAGAGGGGGCACAGGACCUUUGAGCACGAGCUGCCUAGUCCCUAUAGGAUUCCUCAGCCAUGGCAGCUGAUGCGGAGCAUGACUCAAGAGUGCCCCCUAGGGACCAGUCCUAGAACUGCACCAGAGGACGGAGUUUGAAGGAGCUGAGCUUCCUGAAGCCACAUGCAAAGAGAUUGACAUGCUUCUGGAGCAGCAGGACCAAUUCCAUGAUGGUGAGAGAAGAGGGAGAGCAAAGAGUUAGGAGAGAUAAUAAGAGCUAUAGAAACGGAAGAGGCGGGGUCGCAGACGGCAGGUGCAGAUCUCCCAGGAUGACAUACGGAUGUAGAUCAAGGACAACAAGGCUGAGACUCUGCCCCUGCCUCAGGUGCUGAUAAACCUCCCUACCCAGAAGCUCCUCAGCAGAGCUCUACAGCGCCCCCCUCUGGCUUGUGCCGCCCUCACAAUGCUCACUCGCUCCUGGGAGAGACGCAGCGGGGAGGAGACGGAGGAGGAGGGAAGGUCCGAGCUGGACAGAGAGAUGGAGAGGGGGAGG
Molecule: long non-coding RNA, 874 nt
Organism: Coregonus clupeaformis (lake whitefish)
Lineage: Eukaryota; Metazoa; Chordata; Actinopteri; Salmoniformes; Salmonidae
Exons: 5
Source: RefSeq, a predicted model, not a curated record